GUGCUGCUUUGGCAGCACAUAUACUAAAACUGGAAUCGUACAGAGAUUAGCAUGGCCCUUGCACAAGAAUGACACACAAAUUCGUGAAGUGUUCUUCCAUAUU
This is a small nuclear RNA of Suncus etruscus (white-toothed pygmy shrew), 103 nucleotides long. Lineage: Eukaryota; Metazoa; Chordata; Mammalia; Eulipotyphla; Soricidae. The record is from RefSeq and is a predicted model, not a curated record.